CGAGCGAGCUUGCCUAGAUGAUUUUAGUGCUUGCACUAAAUGAAACUAGAUACCAGCGAGCGGCGGACGGGUGAGUAACACGUGGGUAACCUGCCCAAGAGACUGGGAUAACACCUGGAAACAGAUGCUAAUACCGGAUAACAACACUAGACGCAUGUCUAGAGUUUGAAAGAUGGUUCUGCUAUCACUCUUGGAUGGACCUGCGGUGCAUUAGCUAGUUGGUAAGGUAACGGCUUACCAAGGCAAUGAUGCAUAGCCGAGUUGAGAGACUGAUCGGCCACAUUGGGACUGAGACACGGCCCAAACUCCUACGGGAGGCAGCAGUAGGGAAUCUUCCACAAUGGACGAAAGUCUGAUGGAGCAACGCCGCGUGAGUGAAGAAGGGUUUCGGCUCGUAAAGCUCUGUUGGUAGUGAAGAAAGAUAGAGGUAGUAACUGGCCUUUAUUUGACGGUAAUUACUUAGAAAGUCACGGCUAACUACGUGCCAGCAGCCGCGGUAAUACGUAGGUGGCAAGCGUUGUCCGGAUUUAUUGGGCGUAAAGCGAGUGCAGGCGGUUCAAUAAGUCUGAUGUGAAAGCCUUCGGCUCAACCGGAGAAUUGCAUCAGAAACUGUUGAACUUGAGUGCAGAAGAGGAGAGUGGAACUCCAUGUGUAGCGGUGGAAUGCGUAGAUAUAUGGAAGAACACCAGUGGCGAAGGCGGCUCUCUGGUCUGCAACUGACGCUGAGGCUCGAAAGCAUGG
This 741-nucleotide ribosomal RNA is filed under the name uncultured bacterium. RNAcentral's name for it is "bacterial SSU rRNA". It matches the Rfam family "Bacterial small subunit ribosomal RNA", at positions 50 to 764 of the family's 1533-position model. The record is from RNAcentral.